AUGUUGUUGCAGUUAAAAAGCUCGUAGUUGGAUUUCUGGUGGGAGCGGCCGGUCCGCCGUAAGGUGUGUACUAGGUUGUCUCCUGUCAUCCUUGUGGGAACUGCUCUGGCAUUAAGUUGUCGGGGUUAGGGAACACAUCGUUUACUGUGAAAAAAUUAGAGUGUUUAAAGCAGGCUUAUGCCGUUGAAUACAUUAGCAUGGAAUAAUAAGAUAGGACUUUGGCGUCUAUUUUGUUGGUUUGCACACCAAGGUAAUGAUUAAUAGGGAUAGUUGGGGGUAUUCGUAUUUAAUUGUCAGAGGUGAAAUUCUUGGAUUUAUGAAAGACGAACUUCUGCGAAAGCAUUUACCAAAGAUGUUUUCAUUAAUCAAGAACGAAAGUUAGGGGAUCGAAGAUGAUUAGAUACCAUCGUAGUCUUAACCAUAAACUAUGCCGACUAGGGAUUGGCGGUCGUUCAUUUAUGACUCCGUCAGCACCUUAUGAGAAAUCAAAGUCUUUGGGUUCCGGGGGGAGUAUGGUCGCAAGGCUGAAACUUAAAGGAAUUGACGGAAGGGCACCACCAGGAGUGGAGCCUGCGGCUUAAUUUGACUCAACACGGGGAAACUUACCAGGUCCAGACAUAGUGAAGGAUUGACAGAUUGAGAGCUCUUUCUUGAUCUAUGGCUGGU
RNAcentral lists this ribosomal RNA (666 nucleotides) under uncultured marine eukaryote. RNAcentral describes it as "SSU rRNA". It matches the Rfam family "Eukaryotic small subunit ribosomal RNA", at positions 607 to 1278 of the family's 1831-position model. The record is from RNAcentral.